RNAcentral lists this ribosomal RNA (855 nucleotides) under Escherichia coli. RNAcentral's name for it is "partial 23S ribosomal RNA". It matches the Rfam family "Bacterial large subunit ribosomal RNA", at positions 396 to 1251 of the family's 2925-position model. The record is from RNAcentral. Lineage: Bacteria; Pseudomonadati; Pseudomonadota; Gammaproteobacteria; Enterobacterales; Enterobacteriaceae.
GCUGUGAGCUCGAUGAGUAGGGCGGGACACGUGGUAUCCUGUCUGAAUAUGGGGGGACCAUCCUCCAAGGCUAAAUACUCCUGACUGACCGAUAGUGAACCAGUACCGUGAGGGAAAGGCGAAAAGAACCCCGGCGAGGGGAGUGAAAAAGAACCUGAAACCGUGUACGUACAAGCAGUGGGAGCACGCUUCGGCGUGUGACUGCGUACCUUUUGUAUAAUGGGUCAGCGACUUAUAUUCUGUAGCAAGGUUAACCGAAUAGGGGAGCCGAAGGGAAACCGAGUCUUAACUGGGCGUUAAGUUGCAGGGUAUAGACCCGAAACCCGGUGAUCUAGCCAUGGGCAGGUUGAAGGUUGGGUAACACUAACUGGAGGACCGAACCGACUAAUGUUGAAAAAUUAGCGGAUGACUUGUGGCUGGGGGUGAAAGGCCAAUCAAACCGGGAGAUAGCUGGUUCUCCCCGAAAGCUAUUUAGGUAGCGCCUCGUGAAUUCAUCUCCGGGGGUAGAGCACUGUUUCGGCAAGGGGGUCAUCCCGACUUACCAACCCGAUGCAAACUGCGAAUACCGGAGAAUGUUAUCACGGGAGACACACGGCGGGUGCUAACGUCCGUCGUGAAGAGGGAAACAACCCAGACCGCCAGCUAAGGUCCCAAAGUCAUGGUUAAGUGGGAAACGAUGUGGGAAGGCCCAGACAGCCAGGAUGUUGGCUUAGAAGCAGCCAUCAUUUAAAGAAAGCGUAAUAGCUCACUGGUCGAGUCGGCCUGCGCGGAAGAUGUAACGGGGCUAAACCAUGCACCGAAGCUGCGGCAGCGACGCUUAUGCGUUGUUGGGUAGGGGAGCGUUCUGUAAGCCUG